CCUACGGGGGGCUGUAGUCGGGAAUUUUGCACAAUGGGCGAAAGCCUGAUGCAGCAACGCCGCGUGAGGGAUGAAGGCCUUCGGGUUGUAAACCUCUUUUCUCAGGGACGAUGAUGACGGUACCUGAGGAAUAAGCCACGGCUAACUACGUGCCAGCAGCCGCGGUAAUACGUAGGUGGCAAGCGUUGUCCGGAUUUACUGGGCGUAAAGAGCGCGCAGGCGGUCGUGCAAGUCGAAUGUGAAAGCCCCCGGCUCAACUGGGGAGGGUCAUUCGAUACUGCUCGACUUGAAGGCAGGAGAGGGAAGCGGAAUUCCCGGUGUAGUGGUGAAAUGCGUAGAUAUCGGGAGGAACACCAGUGGCGAAGGCGGCUUUCUGGCCUGUUCUUGACGCUGAGGCGCGAAAGCCAGGGGAGCAAACGGGAUUAGAUACCCCUGUAGUC
This 440-nucleotide ribosomal RNA is filed under the name uncultured bacterium. RNAcentral describes it as "partial 16S ribosomal RNA". It matches the Rfam family "Bacterial small subunit ribosomal RNA", at positions 338 to 795 of the family's 1533-position model. The record is from RNAcentral.